UAGGGUUCGAUUAUGGCUCAGAACGAACGCUGGCGGCAUGCCUAACACAUGCAAGUCGAACGCUAUUUAUAGAGUGGCGCACGGGUGAGUAACGCGUGGGAACCUGCCUUUUUCUGCGGGAUAACGGUUGGAAACGAUCGCUAAUACCGCAUACGCCCUACGGAGGAAAGGUCCGCCGGAAAAAGAGGGGCCCGCGUCUGAUUAGCUUGUUGGUGGGGUAAUGGCCUACCAAGGCGACGAUCAGUAGCUGGUCUGAGAGGAUGAUCAGCCACACUGAGACUGAGACACGGCCCAGACUCCUACGGGAGGCAGCGGUGGGAAUCUUGGACAAUGAAGAAACCCUGAUCCAGCCAUGCCGCGUGAGGAAGAAGGCCCUGGGGUCGUAAAACUCUUUCGCCUGUGAUGAUAAUGACGGUAGCAGGUGAAAGAAACCCCGGCUAACUCCGUGCCAGCCGCCGCGGUAAUACA
Molecule: ribosomal RNA, 468 nt
Filed under: uncultured SAR116 cluster alpha proteobacterium
Lineage: Bacteria; Pseudomonadati; Pseudomonadota; Alphaproteobacteria; Puniceispirillales (SeqCode)
Description: bacterial SSU rRNA
Rfam family: Bacterial small subunit ribosomal RNA
Source: RNAcentral